Molecule: ribosomal RNA, 253 nt
Filed under: uncultured bacterium
Lineage: Bacteria
Description: partial 16S ribosomal RNA
Rfam family: Bacterial small subunit ribosomal RNA
Source: RNAcentral
GACGGGGGAUGCAAGCGUUAUCCGGAAUCACUGGGCGUAAAGCGUCUGUAGGUGGUGAAGCAAGUCACUGGUGCAAAACUCUGGCUCAACCGGAGGAAAGCCAGUGAAACUGCAUGACUAGAGUGCGGGAGAGGUAGAGGGAAUUCCCUGAGUAGCGGUGAAAUGCGGAGAUACAGGGAAGAACACCGGAGGCGAAAGCGUUCUACUGGAACACAACUGACACUGAGAGACCGAAGCCAGGGGAGGGAAUGGG